This is a long non-coding RNA of Aegilops tauschii subsp. strangulata, 898 nucleotides long. RefSeq lists it as uncharacterized. The record is from RefSeq and is a predicted model, not a curated record. NCBI's taxonomy places the organism in Eukaryota, Viridiplantae, Streptophyta, Magnoliopsida, Poales, Poaceae.
UCCUUGUUUCGCUAAAAAAAAAAAUCUCCUCCUCCUGUCGCAAUGGCACGGCGGGCCACAUCCCCCCACAUCGUCGCCUCAGCCGCGGCGCCCUCCCGUCGGCCGCAAUGCCGCUUUUUAGCCCCCCACCCCCCAGCGGCCCCCGCGCGCCGUCCCUCCUCGGCACCGGCUUCGCCAAGGUUAGGGGACGGACUGGACGCGGGUGGGCGUCGCCGGAGACGACGAGGAAGCGGCUGGCCUCGAGCCCUCGACCCUCGACCGCUAUCGUGGGAGGUCGUCUCACCGUGCCCUCACGGGCUGAGGCCCGGGGAGGCAAGUGUAGCCCCGAGUAACGCGUCUCUGGGAAGGGCUAGGAAGAUAUGGGCGGUGAUGAGGCUGGAUCUUGCUCGAGGAGGCCAGGGUCGGAGCCGCGUCGGAGUCCCAGUGCCUGGCGGCGAGACUUAUAGAUGGCGAGAUAUGAAGAAUAUAUGGACGCAGAUUCUUGGAGCAUUGGUAAGAUUGAAGAUCUUGUGCAGGGACACUCUUUUGCUAGUGAUGGGUCGAUGCACAAGAUCGCCUGGCUACAUUUCAAGACCUUAGGUGAAGACUGACUAUUGUGUGCCUUCGCAUGAAACUGCAGUGUAUGGAUUCCCGUCAUACCCUGCGUUGCACUUGCAGAGAUAGCCAACUCCCCUGGGCGCGUCGAUGCAGUCACUCAGACUGUUGCAGAGUGACAUCAAGUUGUAGGUUAAGGCCUGGUCGCACGUGCCCUGCCCAACUGCCCAAUCCAAGAUCAUCCCGUGGUCACCAACCGGCAACAGCGGGUCUUUCAGCGGAUCCUGCCCACCCUUGAAGACUUGCUCGUCUUGGUCGUAGAAGAACGCAGCGCUGCAAGUGCCGUUCUCGUCAGCAGUGAAUU